Molecule: long non-coding RNA, 1266 nt
Filed under: Cercocebus atys (sooty mangabey)
Lineage: Eukaryota; Metazoa; Chordata; Mammalia; Primates; Cercopithecidae
Description: lncRNA (ENSCATG00000045903.1)
Source: RNAcentral
GUUAGGAUCAGCGCGUUUGCCUCGGGUAGCUCAGCGGUUUGGGGCUGGAGCUGGGCCAGGGUUUGGAUCUCCGCAGGCCUCUUUCCAAAUGAGGGAGGUAACAGGGAGGGUGCGGUGUCCAACAGGCUGUGGGCAGUCCCAUCUCCCAGCCCCCUGGGUGGCAGGCAGAACAGGCCUCUCCUGUUUGCAGCUCUCUGGAUGGUCUCAGCUUCCUCCCUGAGCCUUCCUUCUACUCGCAAAGACACCGGCUGGCCUCCCUCAGCCCCUGGCAUGUCCGCUUUGCAAGGCAACAGCAAGAAGACACUCGUGUCACUGAACAUCCUGCAAGCCAUCAUUGAUGGAGUCUCCCUGUCAGCGGAGAGGAAAGGGGAGACUCCCAGCACAAGGGUAGAAGCCCUCUCUCCUGAGGACUCAGUCUCCUCUACCCCAGGACCCAGUCACAUGACCCGCUCCGUGACUUUCACAAUCACCAAUGAAGUCUUCUCAGCUGCACUCUUGAACCCUGACUCCUGGAAGCACCAGCUGCUGCAUAAGAUCAUCCACCACCAGGUAAGUGCCCCUCCUCCGGUGUGCAGGUGGCCAGUGAGGCAAAGUGAGGCAGAGUUCCUGCAGCCAAAACCAAAUCUGCCUCCGCCUUGGUUCUGGAACCAUGGAUGCCCUAGCCGGCAAGUGCCAUUUCUUGCCUGGCAUCCAGGGGGAACUCUGAGUCUCUGUCCAUUAGUUUAUUGGUUCAAUCCUUCAUUUAUUCAACUAACUCACUUCUUCCUACCACUAACUGAGCACCUACUGUACCAGGUAUGGUGCUAAGUGCUGGGAACACCACAGUAAGCAAAAGCAAGCAUGCCCCCUGCCCUCAGGGAGCCUGCAGUCUGGAGGAGAGGACAGCCCUACAAGGCGUGAUCAAACAUAUCCAGAUGUCGUCGUAGUUGUGAUAAGCUAUAGAAAGGAGAAGUGCAGACAGGAUAGGCAGUGAGAGGGAGCUGCUGGGGAGAGGUGGCUGCCCAGACAACACCUUUCUGAGAACUGGGAAUUUUGACCGGGACAAGAAGGUGGCCAGAUGAAACACAGAGGGGCUUUCUAGGCAGAGAACGGCACCUGUGAUGACCUUGAAGUGAAGAGGUGGUCGGAGGCAGCAGAAGCAGAGGGACGCCAGCGAGAGGGGCUGUGAGGAGAAUAAUUUGAAACAGGGGUGGGAGAGGGAGGAGGGGAGGCCUGUUAGGAGCACGGUAGUCGUCCAAGCCAGAGAGGUCUGGAUGGCAGGCCAAC